RNAcentral lists this ribosomal RNA (508 nucleotides) under uncultured bacterium. Its description in RNAcentral is "partial 16S ribosomal RNA". It matches the Rfam family "Bacterial small subunit ribosomal RNA", at positions 28 to 523 of the family's 1533-position model. The record is from RNAcentral.
GAUGAACGCUAGCUACAGGCUUAACACAUGCAAGUCGAGGGGAAACGAUAGAGAAAGCUUGCUUUUUCUAGGCGUCGACCGGCGCACGGGUGAGUAACGCGUAUCCAACCUGCCCAUCACUUGGGGAUAACCUUGCGAAAGUAAGACUAAUACCCAAUGAUAUCUCUAGAAGACAUCUGAAAGGGAUUAAAGAUUUAUCGGUGAUGGAUGGGGAUGCGUCUGAUUAGCUUGUUGGCGGGGUAACGGCCCACCAAGGCGACGAUCAGUAGGGGUUCUGAGAGGAAUGUCGCCCACAUUGGAACUGAGACACUGGCCAAACUCCUACUGGAGGCAGCAGUGAGGAAUAUUGGUCAAUGGGCGAGAGCCUGAACCAGCCAAGUAGCGUGCAGGAUGACGGCCCUAUGGGUUGUAAACUGCUUUUAUAAGGGAAUAAAGUGAGUCUCGUGAGACUUUUUGCAUGUACCUUAUGAAUAAGGACCGGCUAAUUCCGUGCCAGCCGCCGCAGUAA